CCGCUCUCUCCCACCUCCAUAGCCAGAAAGCUUUGUUUCUUCUUCUUUCUUCCCUCUGUUCCCAAUCUCUCUGAAUAUCCUCCAUUUUCCUUCUUCAAAUCCGCCAUUUCUUCAUUUCUGUUCUUUCUCUGACCUCCCAUCGCCCUCUGCUGCAAUGGCUGUAGCAGAGUUGUCAUCCUCUUUAAAAACUGAACUCAACUUCUCAUCCAAGACUGUUUUUCAGUCCAAUCGUUCCUCCAACCACCGUCGCUGCUCUUUCCGGCCGUUUCAUCGACCCCGAAGUCCCCGAGUCACUUGCUCUGUUGCGCCCAAUCAAGUUGAAGCAGCUCCAGUUGCAGCGAAAACAGAGGACCCUAAAAGUAAAAGCGAGUGUUAUGGUGUUUUUUGCCUCACCUAUGACUUAAAAGCUGAGGAAGAGACAACAUCAUGGAAGAAACUGAUUAAUGUUGCAGUCUCUGGUGCUGCUGGAAUGAUAUCCAACCAUCUUCUCUUCAAGCUUGCAUCUGGUGAAGUUUUCGGUCCUGAUCAACCGGUUGCAUUGAAGCUAUUGGGAUCAGAAAGGUCAUUCCAAGCACUUGAAGGUGUUGCCAUGGAAUUGGAGGACUCCCUUUUCCCUUUAUUGAGGGAGGUGGUGAUAA
Molecule: unclassified non-coding RNA, 638 nt
Filed under: Hevea brasiliensis (rubber tree)
Lineage: Eukaryota; Viridiplantae; Streptophyta; Magnoliopsida; Malpighiales; Euphorbiaceae
Source: RNAcentral